This 253-nucleotide ribosomal RNA is filed under the name uncultured bacterium. RNAcentral describes it as "partial 16S ribosomal RNA". It matches the Rfam family "Bacterial small subunit ribosomal RNA", at positions 524 to 776 of the family's 1533-position model. The record is from RNAcentral.
GACGGAGGGCGCAAGCGUUGUUCGGAAUUACUGGGCGUAAAGCGUGCGCAGGCGGUUUGCUAAGACAGGUGUGAAAUCCCCGGGCUUAACCUGGGAACUGCGCUUGUAACUGGCAAGCUAGAGUGUGGCAGAGGGGGGUGGAAUUCCAGGUGUAGCAGUGAAAUGCGUAGAGAUCUGGAGGAACACCGAUGGCGAAGGCAGCCCCCUGGGCUAACACUGACGCUCAUGCACGAAAGCGUGGGGAGCAAACAGG